Molecule: long non-coding RNA, 792 nt
Filed under: Felis catus (domestic cat)
Lineage: Eukaryota; Metazoa; Chordata; Mammalia; Carnivora; Felidae
Description: lncRNA (ENSFCAG00000049864.1)
Source: RNAcentral
UGCAAGACAAAAGAGUAUAUGGACUUUGACUUUCCUUUACAUAUUCUUGUGUGAUAUCUCAAGACUCUUUCAGUUUGGUUUGCUACCAUCCUAUAAGACUUGAGAAGUAAGAACUAUUUAUUAAGUUUUAGUAACCUUGGAUCAUAUCAUUAGUCUUCUGUGCUCUCUGUGUACCCUCUUCUCCAUGCUCAUGUCUUUUCAAACAAAGAUUAGAGGACAAAACCAGUUUUCCAUUUCUGUAGGCUAAGAACUUCCCAGCUACAGAAUACUAUAGGUCUUACACUACCUGAGGGGUUGUUGCUAUCUGUAAUUGAGUCUUCAUGGAAGGUUUUUAGUCUCUUAUAAAGAUCUAACUGGUCAUCUCAUUGUUUCCCCAGUGAAGGUGCCUGGUGCCCUGAAACUCCCUGUGAAUUUGCUGGUGACCUCACUCAUCAACCUUUGGGAUAGCAGUCAGUGUUCGCUCUCUGCUUUUCAAAAAGAGAUACUUGACUAUCUGAGCUUGGCUCACAAGGAGGCUUCCCAGGCAAAAGGAGAAUAUUAUAUGGACUUUUUCAUUGACCUACUUUUUAAGGAAUGUAGAGGAGUGGAAAAUGGAGGUUGUUGAUUCUGCCUUAUGGAUGAAAUAUAGAAAACCUUAAACACAUACUUAAUGUAUAUCUGUGAUUUCAUUUUGAUGAAGAAAGACUCAUUGAUUUGGUAAAGUUACUCAGAAAGUGUUUUAACUUGAAGAUUGGACUGCAUUUAUCAUUGAGGAAAGAGUGAAUUUUCUCAAUAAAUCACUAUUAUAAGUCA